This 484-nucleotide ribosomal RNA is filed under the name uncultured bacterium. RNAcentral describes it as "partial 16S ribosomal RNA". It matches the Rfam family "Bacterial small subunit ribosomal RNA", at positions 29 to 523 of the family's 1533-position model. The record is from RNAcentral.
AGUGAACGCUGGCGGCGUGCUUAACACAUGCGAGUCGAACGAGAACGGGUUAUAGCUUGCUAUAAUUGUCAGCUAAGUGGCGCACGGGUGAGUAAUGUAUAGGUAAUAUGCCUCUUACUAAGGGAUAACAAAUGGAAACGUUUGCUAAUACCUUAUACUCCUUAUUAACAUAAGUUAAUAAGUGAAAGUUUUAUUGGUAAGAGAUUAGCCUGUAUUGUAUCAGUUAGUUGGUGGGGUAAUGGCUUACCAAGACUAUGACAAAUGACUGGUUUGAGAGGAUGAACAGUCACACUGGAACUGAGACACGGUCCAGACUCCUACGUGAGGCAGCAGUGGGGAAUAUUGCACAAUGGACGAAAGUCUGAUGCAGCAACGCCGCGUGGAGGAUGACACAUUUCGGUGCGUAAACUCCUUUUAUAUGAGAAGAUAAUGACGGUAUUAUAUGAAUAAGCACCGGCUAACUCCGUGCCAGCCGCCGCCGUAA